UCUGCUCAGUAACACGUGGAUAACCUACCCUUAGGACCGGAAUAACCCCGGGAAACUGGGGAUAAUACCGGAUAAGCCAUAGACGCUGGAAUGCCCUAUGGUUCAAAGCUCCGGCGCCUAAGGAUGGAUCUGCGGUCUAUCAGGUUGUAGUGGGUGUAACGUACCUACUAGCCGACGACGGAUACGGGUUGUGAGAGCAAGAGCCCGGAGAUGGAUUCUGAGACACGAAUCCAGGCCCUACGGGGUGCAGCAGGCGCGAACACUUUACAAUGCGGGAAACCGCGAUAAGGGAACCCCGAGUGCCAGCAUCAAAUGUUGGCUGUCCGGAUGAUUAAAAAUCAUUUGUUAGCAAGGGCCGGGCAAGACCGGUGCCAGCCGCCGCGGUAACACCGGCGGCCCGAGUGGUAGCCGUUUUUAUUGGGUCUAAAGGGUCCGUAGCCGGCUUGAUAAGUCCUUUGGGAAAUCUGGCAGCUUAACUGUCAGGCUUCUAAGGGAUACUGUCAGGCUUGGGACCGGAAGAGGUAAGGGGUACUCCAGGGGUAGGAGUGAAAUCUUGUAAUCCCUGGGGGACCUUCUGUGGCGAAGGCGCCUUACCAGAACGGGUCCGACGGUGAGGGACGAAAGCUAGGGGAGCAAACCGGAUUAAAUACCCGGGUAGUCCUAGCUGUAAACGAUGCUCGCUAGGUGUCAAACACGGUGCGACCGUGUUUGGUGCCGCAGGGAAGCCGUUAAGCGAGCCACCUGGGAAGUACGGUCGCAAGGCUGAAACUUAAAGGAAUUGGCGGGGGAGCACUACAACGGGUGGAGCCUGCGGUUUAAUUGGAUUCAACGCCGGAAAACUCACCGGGUGCGACAGCAAUAUGUAGGUCAGGCUGAAGGUCUUACCUGAAUCGCUGAGAGGAGGUGCAUGGCCGUCGUCAGUUCGUACUGUGAAGCAUCCUGUUAAGUCAGGCAACGAGCGAGACCCGCGCCCACAGUUGCCAGCAUGUUCUCCGGAACGAUGGGUACACUGUGGGGACCGCCGCUGCUAAAGCGGAGGAAGGAACGGGCUACGGUAGGUCAGUAUGCCCCGAAUCUCCCGGGCUACACGCGGGCUACAAUGGUUG
This 1106-nucleotide ribosomal RNA is filed under the name uncultured archaeon. Its description in RNAcentral is "bacterial SSU rRNA". It matches the Rfam family "Archaeal small subunit ribosomal RNA", at positions 83 to 1192 of the family's 1478-position model. The record is from RNAcentral.